Molecule: long non-coding RNA, 2116 nt
Organism: Paramisgurnus dabryanus
Lineage: Eukaryota; Metazoa; Chordata; Actinopteri; Cypriniformes; Cobitidae
Source: RefSeq, a predicted model, not a curated record
GUUCUCUUCGUGGACCGGGGUCGUCGUUCUCCUCCUUAGAGGGCUCAGGCUGUAACGUAGGAUCACACUUCACCUUUAACUGUGGUUUUUGUUCUUACUUUCAGAUGACUGGUGGCAGUGGAAAACGAUGACUGGUAGCAGUGGAAACGAUGACUGGCAGCAGUGGAAACGAUGACUGGCAGCAGUGGAAACGAUGACUGGCAGCAGUGGAAACGCUGGUGACUAGUAGAGGGGCACGGAGGGCAAGCCCUGCGGUGGUCUUCCUUUCCAGGGCUUGAAUGUUGCCGGGGAGAUACUGCGGUCACUGUCGAGCCGAACGCUGCCUUCUCCUGCUUAUGCGUGGACUCUGGACAGGGGCGCACCUUUGAAGAGGCUCCGUGACAGGUAAUUAUUAACUUCAGCAGUGUGAUAACUUUACCCACAGAUACAUCAACAUUCAGAAUUUUACUCACAAGCAGUCUCAAUAUCCUGUACCCUCUCUCUUCACUGUCACCACUGGGGUGUACGCCGUCGAACCCGGGAACCUGCAGUGUCUCACUAGUUCACCAAAACCGUAUCACUACACGGCGUAAUAUGGACAGGCACUUCACUCGCCACACCGCAUCUUCUUUGUUCUAACUGACAACAGGUACACAGCACUUCACUGCAAUACAAUCACGUGUGCACACUCACUCUGUAAAAUCCAGACUCACCCACAACACACUUCGGUGAACAUUAAGGCCAGGCAAGGGUCUUCGGGGAGCCGGUCCAAGAAUCUGCGGGGCGUUAACGUGAAGGAAGCCAGAGAUUGAGACGUAGCCGUAGCGAUAUCCUUUGCUCCUAAUGCUAUUUAGUCCUCGGCUCACCCACCAAACAACUCUGCAAUGGGGCCGCUGCUAUGGUUGCUGUGAACUCAUACACACGUAUAUCCUGAUAUCUUCAACAUACACACAUCAGUAUACACCUCUCAUACUCACGAAGAAGGAUCACACUUUCUCUCUUCUCAGAGAGAGUAAAAGAAGGGCAAUAUCACUAUAGAUUUAACUUCUGCACAAACCAUCAGAACUCUAAGAAUCACCUUAAUUAAAAGGGGCAAUAACUUUUUACAGCGAAUGAACAAGCGAUACUUGCAUUGGCUGUUGUGAGGCACGUGUGUACGUCCAGCUGUAUGGGCGCGUAUGCGAGGAAGAGAGUUCCUGAGUUUGUGGGCACAUGACGGAAUCCUUGGAGGUGUCCGUAGGAGUUGAAGUUUAAGUCUAAGUGGCAGGGUACCCGAAACUAGAGGGAUAGGGGUCCCACAGCCGGAAGCUGAGCUAUAGCUAUAUCGUUGAGAACUAUAGGCCAACUGUGAGCUGUGAUGAAUUGAGGUGCAGGCCUCUUAACCUGAGCUUAGGGCCAACCCCUUGAAGUUCAGAUGACCAAUCCAAAAGGGUGUUAAUCGAGCAGGGAAACUUUGUCUUUGUUUCACCAGACUCAUUUGCAUAGAUGUGCUAUGCCAGGGAUUUGUUACAAUAAUAAUUUGGAUUAAUAUUGAACAAGUUUGAUAUAAGUUAUGGUAAGAUGAUGCACAUCAUUGAUCAGGAAAGGAAAAGGGGAUUAUUUAGAGUGUAAACAAGGUAUGGUUGAACACACAUCAAAUAGUAAUCUCAUAGAUGUGAAUUAUGAGACAUGCUAAGAUAAGCAAAGCAUCCCUAUAGUGUUACAAGGAAGUGGUACAUUACAGAUACAAACAUGCAAUACAAGGAUAUAUAAUAUAUACAAUUUAAACCAAUUUAUUUUGGUCUUAGCUGUGAUCUACUACAGACACAUUUUUGUGUCAUGGCUGCUUCGUCUCUGGCCACGGUUUGAAGUUUGCUUUGAGGUGUUAAUUUGCUUAGAUUGGCACAAUAAAACAGUCAGAGGGAGUCGAUAGGUCUGGAAAUGUGUGUUAUCAGGAGAUUAGGAUCUUCUGAUGAAAGAGUCCGAGCAGACCUGGUGACAAAACUCAUUCUAGGGUCACAGCAUGAAACCGUUAACGACCCAGACUGAAGAGACCUCCAGUUGACGUCCAGCCAGAUGUUACACCAUCCAAACAGACAUUUUGUUGUUUGACAUGUUGUUUGAUGUUGUUUGCAUAGAAUGCACAAAUUGAGCCUGA